GGCGAACGGGUGAGUAACACGUGGGUGACCUACCUUCGAAUGGGGGAUAACGUCCCGAAAGGGACGCUAAUACCGCAUAACAUCCUGCCUUUGAACAGGUGGAGAUCAAAGCUGGGGAUCGUAAGACCUGGCGUUUGGAGAGGGGCCCGCGUCCGAUUAGCUAGUUGGUGAGGUAACGGCCCACCAAGGCAACGAUCGGUAGCCGGCCUGAGAGGGCGGACGGCCACACUGGGACUGAGACACGGCCCAGACUCCUACGGGAGGCAGCAGUGGGGAAUUGUUCGCAAUGGGCGCAAGCCUGACGACGCAACGCCGCGUGGAGGAUGAAGGUCUUCGGAUUGUAAACUCCUGUUGCCCGGGACGAAACACUCUGACCUAACACGUCAGAGUCUGACGGUACCGGGUGAGGAAGCCCCGGCUAACUCUGUGCCAGCAGCCGCGGUAAUACAGAGGGGGCUAGCGUUGUUCGGAAUUACUGGGCGUAAAGGGCGCGUAGGUGGCCUGUUAAGUCGAACGUGAAAUCCCCGGGCUCAACCCGGGAACUGCGUCCGAGACUGGCAGGCUCGAAUCCGGGAGAGGGAUGUGGAAUUCCAGGUGUAGCGGUGAAAUGCGUAGAUAUCUGGAGGAACACCGGUGGCGAAGGCGGCAUCCUGGACCGGUAUUGACGCUGAGGCGCGAAAGCCAGGGGAGCAAACGGGAUUAGAUACCCCGGUAGUCC
Molecule: ribosomal RNA, 718 nt
Filed under: uncultured bacterium
Lineage: Bacteria
Description: bacterial SSU rRNA
Rfam family: Bacterial small subunit ribosomal RNA
Source: RNAcentral